Peromyscus californicus insignis is the source of this 310-nucleotide long non-coding RNA. RefSeq lists it as uncharacterized. Lineage: Eukaryota; Metazoa; Chordata; Mammalia; Rodentia; Cricetidae. The record is from RefSeq and is a predicted model, not a curated record. The transcript is spliced from 2 exons.
GGCGCGGCUUCAAGCCCCGGGCUGAGCGCUGGACCUCUUAGACCAGGGACAUUCGCAGGUCAGGCUUGUGUCUGUCGUCUGUCGGUGCAGAGGCUCUCUGGAAAAAGGUUGUGGGCUUGCUGAAGAGAGCAGGUGCUGCAUAAAUGCUCCCUGAGUUGAGCACAGUGGAGUCGUAGAAGGUGAUGGAUCUCCAAGCUCUGAGUUCAGAAACUCAGUCCUCCACCUUGUGGGAACCAGUAGCAGCGCUGUUAAGAUAAAGGAAAGGACCUUGUUCUGUGUCAUCCCUUCUACCUAGCCUGCUGUAGCUAAG